CGGAGUUUACUGUGUAGAGAGAAUUGCGAGCGAUAAAUUUAGUUAGCACUCGUGUUCGGAUGAGAGGAAUUGCGAAGAAAGUUGCAGACGGAUUUGCGGGAUGGCAUAGUUUUUCAUCACCCCCAACUUUGAAGAGAUUUGAAGGGAUUGUGACUGAAAUGUCACGUAUACCCUCAACCUAUUAUACAUUUCCCAGCUUUAACACCAUGCCAUCACCUACCC
RNAcentral lists this long non-coding RNA (222 nucleotides) under Vigna radiata. RNAcentral's name for it is "long non-coding RNA (VRAD_LNC004581)". Lineage: Eukaryota; Viridiplantae; Streptophyta; Magnoliopsida; Fabales; Fabaceae. The record is from RNAcentral.